RNAcentral lists this transfer RNA (82 nucleotides) under Picrophilus oshimae DSM 9789. RNAcentral describes it as "tRNA-Ser (TGA) (tRNA-Ser-TGA-1-1)". It matches the Rfam family "tRNA". From Rfam's summary of the family: Transfer RNA (tRNA) molecules are approximately 80 nucleotides in length. Their secondary structure includes four short double-helical elements and three loops (D, anti-codon, and T loops). Lineage: Archaea; Methanobacteriati; Thermoplasmatota; Thermoplasmata; Thermoplasmatales; Picrophilaceae. The record is from Rfam by way of RNAcentral.
GCCACGGUGGCCCAGCGGUACGGCGCCAGCCUUGAGAGCUGGUUCCCAUAGUGGAUCGGGAGUUCGAAUCUCCCCCGUGGCG